CCUGAGAAACCCAAAAGUUCGAAUGGAGAGAUUCAUCGUCAGCGAUCCUGGCAAUUGUGCGGUUCGCGAUGCCGGGAGACUACGGUCUCGUUGCACGCGUCCGUAUGAUUUAUUUGCCGGUUGUCGUCGUCGUGCACUUCUCCCCUAGUAGGACUGUCGCGACCCGUUGGGUGUCGGUCUACGAUCCGGGUGGGUGCCCGUCACGUGUUACGCUUUACGGCGUCAUGUGGCAGACCCCCGGUUUUCUGACCAGCUGCCCGGCGGUACUCGCACGGUAUUGAGUCGCAAAUAUUUGAACUGCGUCCGGCCCGCCGCAAGCGAGGCCAGUGUUACCCGGAUGUACGGACUUAGCGCCGUCACCGGGCCUGGCCAGCUGUUGGCCGGCGGUGUCCUGGGACUGGCUCUAAAUAAAAUACCGGUCGGCGACGCUACUGCUUUGGGUACUUUCAGGACCCGUCUUGAAACACGGACCAAGGAGUCUAACAUGUGCGCGAGUCAUUGGGAUCUGUUAAGCCUAAAGGCGCAAUGAAAGUGAAGGUAGGCCUUGCGCCAACCUA
RNAcentral lists this ribosomal RNA (557 nucleotides) under Gonotypus melanostoma. RNAcentral describes it as "eukaryotic LSU rRNA". It matches the Rfam family "Eukaryotic large subunit ribosomal RNA", at positions 420 to 750 of the family's 3401-position model. The record is from RNAcentral. Lineage: Eukaryota; Metazoa; Arthropoda; Insecta; Hymenoptera; Ichneumonidae.